GUGCAAGAUGGGUACAAUCUCUUCUGAAAUAGAGUAAUUACUGUCAUGUAGGAAACUAGGCCCCCAGUUUUCCUCCCUACUUGGUGUUCUCAGGCUCCAGAUAGGAUGAAGAGUUGCAGUAACAAGUCUUGCUUAAAUGAACUUGCUAUGGAGACUUUGUAAGAGUUGCAUGACAGUGUCUGCGUAUUACUGUAAGCCAACGUAGGCUUCUCACAAGAAAGAUACUGCUUCAUUUACUGCACAUCUUAGGAACUUCUGGAAUACUGAAAGUGACAAGGAGUGUCUUGUGGAGCUGUGGAAUCUGUGAGAGCAGUUGUCUGAUCUGAGAAUACACCAAAUAAAGCAUCAUCUUCACUGGAGACUUCCUUGCAUUGCACUGACUAGGUCUCCUUCUCUUUGAUGAUGAGUUUACGGUCUAAAACUCUACUACUUCCUGUGGAAUGUCAUUCUAUAGAUAGUUCUCGCUACUUGAUAAUUUGAUUUAUUUCCUUUACCUAAAAAGGAUUUCUAUCAGUAGCUCCAGUUAUACUGCACAAGGGAGGAACUAUACAUAAGAAUAGAAAAACUAAAAACAUGCCAAGACAAUACAGAGCCUGUGUUAGUUCUCACAGUAUCAGUGUUUGUAAUUCUGCUACAUGGAGAUCUCUGAACUGGGCUUAUCAGGUAAGUCUACUUAGC
Gallus gallus (chicken) is the source of this 678-nucleotide long non-coding RNA. The record is from Ensembl. Lineage: Eukaryota; Metazoa; Chordata; Aves; Galliformes; Phasianidae.